Molecule: long non-coding RNA, 2235 nt
Organism: Nematostella vectensis (starlet sea anemone)
Lineage: Eukaryota; Metazoa; Cnidaria; Anthozoa; Actiniaria; Edwardsiidae
Exons: 2
Source: RefSeq, a predicted model, not a curated record
AUUAGGGUUACAGUAAUCGGGAUUAGGGUAACAGUAAUCGGGAUUAGGGUUACAGUAAUCGGGAUUAGGGUUACAGUAAUCGGGAUUUGGGUAACAGGAAUCGGGAUUAGGGUUACAGUAAUCGGGAUAAGGGUAACAGGAAUCGGGAUUUGGGUUACAGUAAUCGGGAUUAGGGUUACAGUAAUCAGGAUAAGGGUAACAGGAAUCGGGAUUUGGGUUACAAUAAUCGGGAUUAGGGUUACAGUAAUCGGGAUUAGGGUAACAGGAAUCGGGAUUAGGGUUACAGUAAUCGGGAUUGGGUUACAGAAAUCGGGAUUUAGGGGUAGAAACCAAACAUGCUAUUUUAAUAUGCAUUCUUAUUGUUGUUAUGGCGACAAAAGCCUUUUUUUGGGUAGAUCCUAACCCUUAAAUACUUGUCACUUAUUGUAGAUAAGCCUCACCUCCCAAUUUUUAUAGUUGUACCCUAAUAAUUUACCCCUAUUCCUUACUAUGGAGUUGGGCCUACGACACACGUGCUAUUGCAGAUACGGUGACAACACUCCCCGUUCAGUGGCUGGUCGAGUGUUUGGCGUUGUCUGGAUUUUAGUCGGUCUUGUUGUCAUCUCCAUGUAAACCGCCACCAUCACCAACGCAUUCUCUAUCGUUUCAAAUCCAGUAUUCAACAUUCACGGCAAAGCCGUAAAGCGACACAACUCUAUGUACAAUUUACUUACUGGAAUCUCUUCUUUCAUAGGUAAAAGCCAGCCUUCAAAAUAUGAGAAAAAUGCAUUUCAAAUCUAGUUUUCAACAAUCACGAUCAAUCAAUCAAGGGAUCUAGGGGGCUUAAUAGGGUGGCUAGACAUCCCCCUUUCUCUAACAUCUUGGUAUAUCCUUUAUCAUUAGCCACCCCCUGUACGGAAAUUCAUAGAACACCCUAUGUAAUAGCCACCCCCUUUUAAAUUGCAUCUGCCACGGCACCACUGUAAUUUUACUGUAGCAGGGAGUCUGUGUUCACUAGAAUUUCAGGGUUUUAAAAAAGAAACUUAUUCUAUACAUUAUCAAGAGUACUGAAAAUAAACUAAGAAUUUUACAUGAUAGCCGAUGGUAUUUGAGGGGAAAUCUGAGUUUCGCAGGGUGGAAAAGUAAUGAACUCUCCUAGUAAAUGAGUGGGUUUAUUUGUGAUCCUUUUUUUUUCAAAGCUUAGAAAUGACAUACAUACACGGAAGCCAUCUAUCAAGGAUCCAAACCAAUAAGCAUUUACUAUGGAAACUAUAAACUAACCACCAAAAACAUGUUGACGCCAAUACCUCUUAUAACUACCAUCAUCAUCAUCAUAAACGACCGACGUUCAACGCCACAACCUACGAUUGCUUUACAUUUAUCAUCAGCAGCAACAUCAACAUCAACGUCAUCGUUAUCAUCACCAUCACCAUCACCAUCACCAUCACCAUCACCAUCACCAUCACCACCACCACCACCACCACAAUCAUCAUUAUCGUCGUCGUCAUCGUCGUCGUCGUCGUCAUCACCCUCAUCGUUAUUAUCGCCAUCAUUGUACCACCAUGUUGCUAUAAAUACAUUGGACGUGUAGAGGACAGGAGAAAGUAGUUUCCAGUAGCACCAGUUGCUGAAUAGCUUCUCUUAAUGAUUACACUUCUCUUGUUAAGUAGAUUUUUGAAGCUCGCAUCACAUCAUUUUUUAAACCAUCUUCUAGACUACUCUACCUUCUCGGAAGCUCACAAUGCUCUCAAGAAUAACGCUGUGAACGCAAUCUUCAUCGACAAACUGCAAGGGGGUAUCACAUCAGCAAGCUUGAUGAUGCGGAUCUUCGUGUCGUGGCUUCUGUUGAGUAUCCACAACUGUUAUUCAAGAUAGCAGAUUUUGAAAAGGAAACUGAAUUUCCAAAUAAUCCGAAAUGCGUCGACCAUGAGCUUCAUGAGCCAUCAGUCAUCUCAUUGGUCAGAGGAUACGUGCCUCCAGGACAGAUUACCUGUAGAAGUAUCACGCCGCCUCUGACAGCAUCAGUGUUGUGUCCAUCGGGUCCAAACUGCUCCAGGACACCCUCAUCGUCCUAACUAGUGUGUUUGUCGCGCUAGCAGUCAUCAGCCUGAUUGGACAGCGGCUUUACGCGAGAAAACAAAACAACUUCAUCGAAACACUGCCAGGUUUGUUCCUUCUUUAGGGGGAUUGGUCCAUAAAGUGGGUUGAGAGUAUGGGGAGGGGGGGAUGUUACCUUGAUUUGACAUAGAGCACCGC